ACUUCUUUGUAGGGUAGUGGCCUACAAAGGUCAUGACGAGUAACGGGGAAUUAGGGUUUGAUUCCGGAGAGAAAGCCUUAGAGUCGGCUUUCACUUCUAAGGAAGGCAGCAGGCGCGUAAAUUAACCAAUGAGGACUUCUUGAGUUAGUGACGAAACAUAGCGGAUGAGGACCAAAUGGUCUUUUUACUGCAAUGACCGGUAUUUAAACCAACCGGUGAGGAACAAGUGGAGGGCAAGUCUGGUGCCAGCAGCCGCGGUAAUACCAGCUCCACUAGCGUAUGUUAAAGUUGUUGUCGUUAAAACGUUCGUAGUUUGCUUUUGGGAAGUAAUGCAACUGGUCCUCAGACUAUGUCUGUGUGUAUCGGAUUCAUGUUCCUUCUUCGUGAAGGCUCUGUGCGCUCUUUACUUAGUGUGCAGUAUGUCUUUGUGACUUUCUCCGUGAAGAAAUCGGAGUGUUCAAAGCAGGUUUAUGCCUUGUACGCUUUUGCACUGGAAUGAUCAUCCAAGAUCGCUCUUCUGUCUUGGUGGAUUUGCAGAAUUGGCGAUAAUGAAUAAUAGGAGCAGUCGGGGCCAUCGGUACUGGGACGUGAUUGGUGAAAUAAGAUGAUCGUCUCAUGACCAACUUAUGCGAAAGCAUUUGGCAAGGAUGUUUUCAUUAAUCAGCGAACGAAAGUUUGGGGAGAGAAGGCGAUUAGACACCACCGUAUUCCAAACCAUAAACUAUGCCGACUAGGGAUUGGAGAAGAAACUAGUCACAACCUCUUCAGAACCUAAUGGGAAACCAAAGUGUUUGGGCUCGAGGGGGAGUAUGGUCGCAAGGCUGAAACUUAAAGGAAUUGACGGAAGGGCACCACCAGGAGUGGAGCUUGCGGCUUAAUUUGACCCAACACGGGGAAACUUACCAGGGCCAGACAGAAGUAUGAUUGACAGAUUGAUAGCUCUUUCAUGAUUUUUUGGAUGGUGGUGCAUGGCCGUUACCAGUUCGUGGAGUGAUUUGUCUGCAUUAUUGCGAUAACGAACGAGACCUCCGCAAAAAACUAGUGUUCGGAUCUUUGGAUCCGUGCUCUUCUUUUUUGGACCAAGCAUUUAAGUGCUGGGAAGUUGGAGGCUAUGACAGGUCUGUGAUGCCCUUAGAUGUUCUGGGAUGCACGUGUGCUACACUGAUGGAGGCAACGAGUUGAAGUUGUUCGACAGGACUGCUUAAUCUUUUAAACUCUAUUGUGAUGGGGAUUGCGGUUUGUAAUUUUUCCGCAUGAACGAGGAAUUCCUUGUAGAUGCAGUUCAUCAGACUGCGUCGAAUCUGUCCCUGCCCUUUGUACACACCGCCCGUCGCUCCAACCGAUUGAAUUUGCUGGCGGGCUAUCGGGAGGUUCAAGUUUGCUUUGCUUACCUGAUCCGAACCUUCGCAAGUCAUCAAAUUUAGAGAUUGGAGAAGUCGUAACAAGGUU
Molecule: ribosomal RNA, 1449 nt
Filed under: metagenome
Description: SSU rRNA
Rfam family: Eukaryotic small subunit ribosomal RNA
Source: RNAcentral